GACGAACGCUGGCGGCGUGCUUAACACAUGCAAGUCGAACGGUGAAGCGCCUUCCUUUUUGGUGGGUGUGGAUGAGUGGCGAACGGGUGAGUAACACGUGAGUAACCUGCCCCCUUCUUCUGGAUAACCGCAUGAAAGUGUGGCUAAUACGGGAUAUUCUGGGUCUGUCGCAUGAUGGGUCUGGGAAAGAUAUUGUUUCGGUGGGGGAUGGGCUCGCGGCCUAUCAGCUUGUUGGUGGGGUGAUGGCCUACCAAGGCGGUGACGGGUAGCCGGCCUGAGAGGGUGGACGGUCACACUGGGACUGAGACACGGCCCAGACUCCUACGGGAGGCAGCAGUGGGGAAUAUUGCACAAUGGGCGCAAGCCUGAUGCAGCGACGCCGCGUGAGGGAUGGAGGCCUUCGGGUUGUGAUCCUCUUUCGCCAGUGAAGCAGGCCUGCCUCGUUUGUGGGUGGGUUGACGGUAGCUGGAUAAGAAGCGCCGGCUAACUACGUG
This 494-nucleotide ribosomal RNA is filed under the name uncultured bacterium. RNAcentral describes it as "partial 16S ribosomal RNA". It matches the Rfam family "Bacterial small subunit ribosomal RNA", at positions 28 to 507 of the family's 1533-position model. The record is from RNAcentral.